UACGGGGGGGGCAAGCGUUGUUCGGAAUUACUGGGCGUAAAGGGCUCGUAGGCGGCCAACUAAGUCAGACGUGAAAUCCCUAGGCUCAACCUAGGAACUGCGUCUGAUACUGGAUGGCUUGAAUCCGGGAGAGGGAUGCAGAAUUCCAGGUGUAGCGGUGAAAUGCGUAGAUAUCUGGAGGAACACCGGUGGCGAAGGCGGCAUCCUGGACCGGCAUUGACGCUGAGGCGCGAAAGCUAGGGGAGCAAACGGG
RNAcentral lists this ribosomal RNA (253 nucleotides) under uncultured bacterium. Its description in RNAcentral is "partial 16S ribosomal RNA". It matches the Rfam family "Bacterial small subunit ribosomal RNA", at positions 524 to 776 of the family's 1533-position model. The record is from RNAcentral.